RNAcentral lists this ribosomal RNA (253 nucleotides) under uncultured bacterium. RNAcentral's name for it is "partial 16S ribosomal RNA". It matches the Rfam family "Bacterial small subunit ribosomal RNA", at positions 524 to 776 of the family's 1533-position model. The record is from RNAcentral.
UACAGAGGUCCCGAGCGUUGUUCGGAUUCACUGGGCGUAAAGGGCUCGUAGGCGGUCUGUUGCGUCGGGAGUGAAAACUCAGGGCUUAACCCUGAGCCUGCUUCCGAUACGGGCAGACUAGAGGUAUGCAGGGGAGAACGGAAUUCCUGGUGUAGCGGUGAAAUGCGCAGAUAUCAGGAGGAACACCGGUGGCGAAGGCGGUUCUCUGGGCAUUACCUGACGCUGAGGAGCGAAAGUGUGGGGAGCGAACAGG